Molecule: long non-coding RNA, 716 nt
Filed under: Homo sapiens (human)
Lineage: Eukaryota; Metazoa; Chordata; Mammalia; Primates; Hominidae
Description: HSALNT0217645
Source: RNAcentral
UAUUUGCUGUUAUAUUUCAUGGAAAGGACUAGUAAGAAUUAUAAUCUUUAAAAAAAUUUAUCUUCGCAAGUUUUCAAAAUAGGCAACAAAGAAUGUAAAUCUUUAAGGACUUUAUUGUUGGACUAAUUAAAGCAUACCAUUUCUACUAUAUCUAGCAUAUGGAGAUACUUAUAGGUAUUCUUCCUUUUAAGUAGAAAUUGACAAUAAAUUAAGUGUAAUUUUAUAAUGGCCUGGUGUAUCAAAGUGUGGCGGAAAUCCCUGAGUUCCAAAAAGAUUAAAGACCGAAGGGAAAUAAGUCUGCUUUUAGCUAGAUGUCAGAAUGACUAUUCAUUGCUUUACUGAGAUCAAGGAGGAUCUUAAUUCCUCCUGGAGAAAUUACGUAUAUCCGUUUUAGUUCAUUAAUUUUAAAUCUGUAUUCUUAUGUGUGACAUUAGUAUUAGAAUUCUUUCAAGAUUUCACUGUGCUUUUUGUUUUAUCCAUUUUCAAAUUUAGAAAUGUUUGCUCAUCAAACUUACCAACAUAAAUACUUUCAGGAAUCCUUAAGAUACUAGCAGUGUUCCACUUCCCUAUACACCUGUUUAUAUGAAAAAUAAAAAAAUUCUCCCAUAUCAGACCCAUGUGUUUUUUUUUUUUUAGGUGUGUUUUUCCCAGAAAAACAACUUUGUAUCUACUAAGUGAACAGUGAUUUCUUCAGACUUUUCUAGUCCAAAUGAGAC